This 69-nucleotide transfer RNA is filed under the name Bacillus cereus. RNAcentral describes it as "transfer RNA-Gly". It matches the Rfam family "tRNA". From Rfam's summary of the family: Transfer RNA (tRNA) molecules are approximately 80 nucleotides in length. Their secondary structure includes four short double-helical elements and three loops (D, anti-codon, and T loops). Further hydrogen bonds mediate the characteristic L-shaped molecular structure. tRNAs have two regions of fundamental functional importance: the anti-codon, which is responsible for specific mRNA codon recognition, and the 3' end, to which the tRNAs corresponding amino acid is attached (by aminoacyl-tRNA synthetases). tRNAs cope with the degeneracy of the genetic code in two manners: having more than one tRNA (with a specific anti-codon) for a particular amino acid; and 'wobble' base-pairing, i.e. permitting non-standard base-pairing at the 3rd anti-codon position. Lineage: Bacteria; Bacillati; Bacillota; Bacilli; Caryophanales; Bacillaceae. RNAcentral also lists the same sequence under 10 other names. The record is from RNAcentral.
CGGAAGUAGUUCAGUGGUAGAAUACAACCUUGCCAAGGUUGGGGUCGCGGGUUCGAAUCCCGUCUUCCG